GCGAAGGUGGCGGAAUUGGUAGACGCGCUAGCUUCAGGUGUUAGUGUCCUUACGGUUCAGGUGUUAGUGUCCUUACGGACGUGGGGGUUCAAGUCCCCCCCCUCGCACCA
RNAcentral lists this transfer RNA (110 nucleotides) under Klebsiella pneumoniae. RNAcentral describes it as "tRNA-Leu". It matches the Rfam family "tRNA". From Rfam's summary of the family: Transfer RNA (tRNA) molecules are approximately 80 nucleotides in length. Their secondary structure includes four short double-helical elements and three loops (D, anti-codon, and T loops). The record is from RNAcentral. Lineage: Bacteria; Pseudomonadati; Pseudomonadota; Gammaproteobacteria; Enterobacterales; Enterobacteriaceae.